This 201-nucleotide ribosomal RNA is filed under the name Triticum aestivum (bread wheat). RNAcentral describes it as "partial small subunit ribosomal RNA". Lineage: Eukaryota; Viridiplantae; Streptophyta; Magnoliopsida; Poales; Poaceae. The record is from RNAcentral.
AUGCAGUUCUCAAAAAAUAUAGAUCACAAUCUAAUUUGUCCUCUCCUUGAUCCCCUUCUUCCAAGGAUUGAAUCUCUUCAGUUCCAAAAUUCAAAUCAGUGCACAAUCAUCAUCUUAAACAAACACAAGAUCCAAUCCCAGCCUCCCCGGAUGCUUUGCUCCUCAAUAUUUAAAUCCCCUCAGUUUCACCAAGCACCAUGA